This is a small nuclear RNA of Manis pentadactyla (Chinese pangolin), 106 nucleotides long. The record is from RefSeq and is a predicted model, not a curated record. Lineage: Eukaryota; Metazoa; Chordata; Mammalia; Pholidota; Manidae.
GUGCUCACUCCGUCAGCACAUAUACUAAAAUUGGAAUGAUACAGAAAAGAUUAGUAUGGGCCCUGUGCAGGGAUGGCAUGUAACUCAUGACACAUUACCUAUAUUU